This 244-nucleotide long non-coding RNA is filed under the name Capsicum annuum. Its description in RNAcentral is "long non-coding RNA (CANN_LNC004921)". The record is from RNAcentral. Lineage: Eukaryota; Viridiplantae; Streptophyta; Magnoliopsida; Solanales; Solanaceae.
AUGGGAAAGAGGUGCAUCCAUUUAUAAGAAAGUUAAAAGUGUUAGUUGUUUUGUACUCAUAAAAUCUAGGCUUCAACUUAAGCUAUUUAAGAGAUAAAUUUUAAAGGAAUUUGUAGUGGUAUUUUCUUAUUUUGUUAAUACAAUGCUAACAGAUUGUUGAAAUAAUGCAGUUUUACCAGAACAUAUAAUACGUAAUCUAAUGGAACAGGACACAUUAAAAUGGAUAUUCGUAGGUAGAAAAGGC